AUUGAUACUCAAGAGGCAGGAGACAAAUUUGAACCAAUGUUAUCAUUUCCCCAUUUUGAGGGGAAGAACAGAAAGCAAGUGAAGCUGUUUGUAACUGAUACAAAGAAAGCAGACAAAUGUGCAUUUCUACUGCCAGUCAUGCCAGGGGAAGCAAGAACCUCCUCCCUGCCAGCCCACCUCAGCUGCUCAUCAGCACCUAGCAUAGGAAUUUCUGCCUUCCUCGAACUCCCUUCCAUCAAGACAAAUGGCAUGAAGCAGCCCACCUCAUUCUACCUAAACUGGAAGGACUGCUCACUGUCACUGUUCAGAUGACAAAAUCUGGCACAGCUUGGUCAUCAGUCAGAAGCUGUCUUUCUGCAAUCGUAGACCAGAGGUGAUAAUUUUGUGGCAAAAAGAAG
Molecule: long non-coding RNA, 398 nt
Filed under: Gallus gallus (chicken)
Lineage: Eukaryota; Metazoa; Chordata; Aves; Galliformes; Phasianidae
Description: long non-coding RNA NONGGAT004311
Source: RNAcentral